RNAcentral lists this long non-coding RNA (353 nucleotides) under Mus musculus (house mouse). RNAcentral describes it as "long non-coding RNA chr9:108986811-108987164". The record is from RNAcentral. Lineage: Eukaryota; Metazoa; Chordata; Mammalia; Rodentia; Muridae.
AUACCACCAUGUGAGCUCCAUCCUUAAAUGUAAAGGAGAGUCAACAUAGAACCCCAGUGCUGCACCUGAAGUCCAUCUAAGGUCCACAGGCCUGCCCCCCUCCCCAGGCUGCUACACCAGAGAGUGCUGGAGGGGGUCACAUGCUUGUUUUGUGGUCUUGUUUUUGUUUUUAAAGACAGUCUUGGGCUGGUGAGAUGGCUCAGAGGUUAUGAGCCCUAGUUGCUCUUCCAGAGGUCCUGAGUUCAGUUCCCAGCAACCACCUGGUGGCUCACAACUAUCUAUAAGGGGAUCUGAUGCCUUCUUCUGGCCUAUGGAAGUAUAUGCAGCAGAGCAUUCACACAAUAAAUAAAUUU